Molecule: unclassified non-coding RNA, 283 nt
Filed under: uncultured Inocybe
Lineage: Eukaryota; Fungi; Basidiomycota; Agaricomycetes; Agaricales; Cortinariaceae
Description: sequence contains ITS2
Rfam family: 5.8S ribosomal RNA (bases 1-52)
Source: RNAcentral
AACGCAUCUUGCGCUCCUUGGUAUUCCGAGGAGCAUGCCUGUUUGAGUGUCAUUUGAACUUAUCUCAACCAUGUCGUCUUUUCGAUGUGGCUUGGAUGUGGGGGUAAUUUUUUGCAGGCUUUAAAUUUUGAAGCCAGCUCCCCUGAAAUGCAUUAGUGGUAUCUGAGCUGCUAUUGGUGUGAUAAUUUAUCUAUGCCUUUGGUAACAGCGAGUGCUGCUUAUAACAACAACAACAAUUGACAAAUUUGACCUCAAAUCAGGUAGGACUACCCGCUGAACUUAA